Choloepus didactylus (southern two-toed sloth) is the source of this 596-nucleotide non-coding RNA. The record is from the annotation of a RefSeq genome assembly. NCBI's taxonomy places the organism in Eukaryota, Metazoa, Chordata, Mammalia, Pilosa, Megalonychidae.
UUCACAUUCUGGAAAAAUAUUUUCCAAAAGUCAAAGAAAUCACCCAUAAGAACAUGAAAACCUCCUGGUUCUUCUUCUUUCUGGUGGCAGCUUCCAGAUGUGUCCUGUCCCAGGUGCAGCUCAAGGAAUCAGGACCUGGUCUGGUGAAGCCCUCACAGACCCUGUCCCUCACCUGCUCUGUCUCUGGAUUCUCUUUAACUGACUAUGUUGUGCACUGGAUCCGACAGGCUCCUGGAAAGGGGCUGGAGUGGGUUGGCAGGAUAAGGAGUAGUGGAAGCACAAACUAUAACCCAACUCUUCAGUCACGACUCAGCAUCACCAGGGACACCUCCAAGAAUGAAGUUUAUUCAAAGCUGAGCAGUGUGACACCCGAGGACACGGCCACAUAUUACUGUGCAAGAGACACAGUGAGGGGAAGUCAGGGUGAGCCCAGACAAAAACCUCCCCUAAGGGCACAGGAGGGUCUGGGCUGCAGGGGGCACUUGGGACCACCAGGGAGUGCUCAUGGGCUAUCCCCAGGAACAGAUGCAGAAAGGGACUGGGAGGGGUUUCCCGGCCUUGCCUGUGGUUCCCUCUUCUUGCUUCAGUACAUGUAA